GUGGGGGAUAUUGCACAAUGGGGGAAACCCUGAUGCAGCGACGCCGCGUGAAGGAAGACGUACUUCGGUAUGUAAACUUCUAUCAGCAGGGAAGAAGAUGACGGUACCUGACUAAGAAGCCCCGGCUAACUACGUGCCAGCAGCCGCGGUAAUACGUAGGGGGCAAGCGUUAUCCGGAUUUACUGGGUGUAAAGGGAGCGUAGACGGUGAAGCAAGUCUGAUGUGAAAACCCGGGGCUCAACUCCGGGAUUGCAUUGGAAACUGUUUUUCUUGAGUGCUGGAGGGGCAAGCGGAAUUCCUGGUGUAGCGGUGAAAUGCGUAGAUAUCAGGAAGAACACCGGUGGCGAAGGCGGCUUGCUGGACAGUAACUGACGUUGAGGCUCGAAAGCGUGGGGAGCAAACAGGAUUAGAAACCCGAGUAGUCC
Molecule: ribosomal RNA, 425 nt
Filed under: uncultured bacterium
Lineage: Bacteria
Description: partial 16S ribosomal RNA
Rfam family: Bacterial small subunit ribosomal RNA
Source: RNAcentral